Molecule: small RNA, 2606 nt
Filed under: Pan troglodytes (chimpanzee)
Lineage: Eukaryota; Metazoa; Chordata; Mammalia; Primates; Hominidae
Description: retained intron
Source: RNAcentral
CACAGCUGUGCCGCUCUGUUCCAGAUGUGGACGAGUGUGCGGCCGAGCCGCCUCCCUGCAGCGCUGCGCAGUUCUGUAAGAACGCCAACGGCUCCUACACGUGCGAAGGUGGGCCAGGCGGGCGGGUCUGCACUCCGGGGCCUGCCGGGUUUCGUUGCUGCCUUUGUCAACAUUCAUUUAUGGCUUCUUAGCGUCACUUCCAUACAUCCUGCCUGCCCUGAGAACACUUAGUGUGGCAAAGUAAGUCAUAGGUAUUUGCUGCAGGAAAAUCAGAAAAUUCAAGUAAGAUGAAAAGAAAACAGUUAAAAACCCAGGAACUCCCUGGAGAGCGCACCCUGCUCGUGCCCCCCCAGCGCCCCCGCAACGUGCCCUGCGUGACUUUCCGCAGCGCCUGUCGGGUGUUUUCCACUCAGCAGCUUGUUGUGAACGUCUCUGCGUCCUGUGGUUUCUCUGUCACGCUAAUGAUUUUGGAGCCAUUAUUUCAUACUUUUACAACAAUGUCUGUUGCUGGACGUUUACGUCAUAACAAUUUUUCAACUGUUAUAAACCGUGAACACUUGAAGGUAAACUUUUCACAUUCCUUAUGAUUUUCUGUGGAUUAAUUUCCAAAUCGCUCAGUCAAGGGAAUGUGUCUUUUAGAGCCAUAGUGCCCCAGAAAAGUUGUGCUGAUCCCCAGUCCCAGCAGCAGGGAGGAGGCCGCCUCUGCCCCGUGUGUGUGACAGCCCCAGGCAGUUUUCACUGUUGGGAGUGCAGACAGUGGGUCCCUCAGUGAGCCACUAAUACUGGAAGCCAUGCGAGAGGCUCUGGUUAUUCUUAGGAAGCUCCUGGCAGGCUGGCAAACCAAUGGUCACCGAGCUGGAGGUGGGUUUGUUUCUAGAAUCUCUGUAGCACCCAGUUUCUCCCAAAGAGUUCCAAGCCAGGUGGUCUGCACCAUGGCUCUCCGGGAGCACCUGCCGCACAGCAGGUCGCGAGUCUGUGCUUUUGCCGGGAGACAGAGACAGAUCGUUAUAAAGUCACUUGGUGAUGAAUGAGGAGAAAACCCAAAUCCUGGCGGCACCGGUGCCUUCUGCAUGUCGGGGUCUGACGGGCACUGGUGCCUUGUGCAUGUCAGGGUCUGACGCUUGCUCCCUGUUGCAGAGUGUGACUCCAGCUGUGUGGGCUGCACAGGGGAAGGCCCAGGAAACUGUAAAGAGUGUAUCUCUGGCUACGCGAGGGAGCACGGACAGUGUGCAGGUCAGUGACGGGGUCUGUGCUGGACGCUGGUGGACCCUUCCCAAGUGACCAUGAUGUGAAUGGCCCCAGCAGGUACUGCCAGGGAUGGGAAGCAGCUGAGACCCGUCCUGCAGACGUGGCUCCCCGAGGGUCACUGCGCACUCGCCCUGAGGUCCACAUGAGACACAGAAGCAGUGGGGGUGGGGGACAGGCUCUGCAUGGCCGACCCCGGUGUGGAUGGCGCUGCUGCACCAGCCUCUCGCCGGUGGCCUCGUUCCCCAGGUCCACCGCCUCUGCUCUCUCUCCAGCUCCUGGGUGGCGAUUGCCCCGAGGCUUAAGGCCAGGCCUGCCAUGGUUGUGGGCUGCCUGGGUGAGCCUGGGCAUGGAUGGAACCCGGUGGAGAAAGUGGGUUUCCUGGGCAGGCGCGGUGGCUCACGCCUGUAAUCCAGCACUUUGGGAGGCUGAGGCGGGGGGAUCACGAGGUCAGGAGAUCGAGACCAUCCUGGCUAACACGGUGAAACCCCAUCUCUACUAAAAAUACAAAAAAUUAGUCAGGCGUGGUGGCGGGCGCCUGUAGUCCCAGCUACUCGGGGGGCUGAGGCAGCAGAAUGGCGUGAACCCGGGAGGCGGAGCUUGCAGUGAGAGGAGAUUGCGCCACUGCCCUCCAGCCUGGGCGACAGAGCGAGACUCCGCCUCAAAAAAAAAAAAAGGAAAAGAAAGUGGGCUUCCUGGGUGCAUGCUGGCCUUCCGUCCCCACCUGGAGGUCUCUUCUCUGCAUUUUCUACCAGUUGAGGGCCCAACUUGGAGACGUGAAAUUCUUCCCUCUCGAAGCCUUUCCUGACCUUUGCUCCUUUCUGUAACGUGACGUUUGUCAUCGUUGUGCUUUCUUUAUGUGAAUGAAUCUGAAUGAAUGAAUUUCAUAAUCCGCUGCGCGUCUGCUGAGCAAAGUAAUUAUUAAAACGGAGUCUUUUCAUUUUAGAUGUGGACGAGUGCUCACUAGCGGAAAAAGCCUGUGUGAGGAAACACGAAAACUGCUACAAUACUCCAGGGAGCUACGUCUGUGUGUGUCCUGACGGCUUCGAAGAAACGGAAGAUGCCUGUGUUCCGCCGGCAGAGGCUGAAGCCACAGAAGGAGAAAGCCCGACACAGCUGCCCUCCCGCGAAGACCUGUAAUGUGCCGGACUUACCCUUUAAAUUAUUCAGAAGGCUGUCCUGUGGAAAAUGUGGCCCUGAGGAUGCCGUCUCCUGCAGUGGACAGCGGCGGGGAGAAGCUGCCUGCUCUCUAAUGGUUGAUUCUCAUUUGUCCCUUAAACAGCUGCAUUUCUUGGUUGUUCUUAAACAGACUUGUAUAUUUUGAUACAGUUCUUUGUAAUAAAAUUGACCAUUGUAGGUAA